This 77-nucleotide transfer RNA is filed under the name Marinitoga litoralis. RNAcentral's name for it is "tRNA-Arg". It matches the Rfam family "tRNA". From Rfam's summary of the family: Transfer RNA (tRNA) molecules are approximately 80 nucleotides in length. Their secondary structure includes four short double-helical elements and three loops (D, anti-codon, and T loops). RNAcentral also lists the same sequence under 1 other name. The record is from RNAcentral. Lineage: Bacteria; Thermotogati; Thermotogota; Thermotogae; Petrotogales; Petrotogaceae.
GCACCUGUAGCUCAAUUGGAUAGAGCGUCGGACUUCGGAUCCGCAGGUUGGGGGUUCAACUCCCUCCAGGUGCGCCA